Molecule: long non-coding RNA, 4058 nt
Organism: Trachemys scripta elegans
Lineage: Eukaryota; Metazoa; Chordata; Testudines; Emydidae
Exons: 4
Source: RefSeq, a predicted model, not a curated record
UUCAACUAAAGUUGUAGUGUUGAGCUGAUUUAGCUAAGUGAGUGUGAAGUUUUACAUCAGUCUAGCAGUUCUUUUGCUAAACUGGUGCAAUCUCACACCUUUAGUAACAGUGAUGCCUCGUCUGUGCUUAGACCAUCUCUUCAAUCUAUUCGGGUGAGGACUGUGGUAUGUCUUGCUAGUCAGCACACGGCAGCCCUGCUGGCAGCCACCAAAGGCGCAAAGGCAGAGUGCCCUCAGAGCAUGGACAUGCCACACAGAUCAGGGCACAAGGUACCAGUGAGAGCGGCGGGAACCACGGCCCCACUUCAGGACACUGUUUCGGAAGGAAGCUCCCCCCGCCCCACGUUACACACACGCAGGGCAGGUGGGCGCCGCGGGGCGCUCUGGGCCUGGGCCCCAGGAUGUGGGGCUUGCUCUCCCACGGACUCUGACAGAUCAAGCUGGAGCAGCUUUGCGGGGAGGCUGAGGCCGUCCUGCCGCCGAGGUUCAGCAGGAAGGCCAACGACCGAAUGGGCUACGGAGACUGAAUUCCCCUUGAGGAGGUUUAUGCUGGGCAGGAGUGAGGCAAUAUUCUUGGCACAGCCACCCAGAUCCUGCAUCAGCUUUCUAGAUGCCCUUCACCUGCGGGGAGCAGAACAUGGCCAUGCUUGUUCCCAAUAUGUCUGUCCUGUUCUUUCUGAUUAAGAUGAAGCAGUUGACUAAGGAGACCAAAUACAAGGCCAUUGGAUUGUUACGCACAGGCAGGGCAAGCUUUAGAAGACAAAUCUGCUAGAGGUGCCAGACUGGAAAGAGGGACUCCUGUCUCAGGCCAGCCGAGGAACACCAUCUCUAUGCAAAGGAACUUUUCGGUAUCUGGUGACUGAACAGCAUAUCAGUGAAUGGAAGGGGCUAGUGAACUAGAGGAGGCUGUUAUAAGUCAGCUCUGCCCUGGAAUCUGACUCACCCUCUAGAAUUUUUAUUGCUUGAAAACUUUUCAAGCAUCACCAGCCAGGAGUAGGUGAACAUUUGGGCAAAUAUUCGUAAGAUGCUGAACUAGGAUGCAGACACUUACCAGCUGUGGAACCGACCCUUCUCCCUCCCUCCCCACACCCUGGACAGCACAGACAUCCUGUACAGCAUGCCACAACCAGACAGAGGCCCAGCAAACCAACUGUAGCCACCCACAAGGAGCUCUGUUUGUCUGCCCCAGCCAUUGGGAUAUAUAAUCCUGAUAGCUUGGGAAAUGCAAGCAGCAAUGAAACUCGAAACAGUGUUCUGGCAUGACACAGUUACAAACAGAGCAUUAUAUGCAGAAAUGUGCACUUGUGCUUGCUAAGGCUCUGACCCUAAUCCCUUUUUCGAAGAAGAAGCAUGCAUUUAGAAGAAAAUAGUUGCUAGCUAUCUGUUUGAAUCCUCCCCUGGUCCCUCUUGCUUGGAAUCCAUCUUGGACCCCAAGUGGCAUGGGGCCGGGAAAUGGCUUGGCUUAAGCCCUUAACAGAAGCGAAAUCCAGCCUCCUGCAUGUCAUUUCUUCCCAAACAAUAAUUGCAUUGGUCAGAGCCCAGCAAAUCCUCCCAUUAAUGCUGUGAUUCCAAAAACUAAAUAUAGCAGGUGCCACUUAUCAGGCUCUGGGUCCUGCUGCAUUGCCACAUCCUCACCAGCCCCAUCCCUAAACAGGUCUUCUGAAUAUGGGCCCCCAGCCAACUGCCCACAUGGCCUGGAGUCCACUCCUGAACCGCCAGCCCCUUUGCCACUAGGUUCUCCUCUGGUGGUGUCCCAGUCCUCUCUGCCUCUGCUCUGAAAAAACAUAUAGUCCCAACUCAGGAGAUGGUCACGCCUGACUGUGGGCUCUAUGCUGGGGGCAGUUGCCAGCAUCUGGCUGAGUUCCUCAUACUAGGGCAGGUAGCUGGGAAGUUCCCAGACUUACCAUUCCCAUUCUUUGCCCUGUGGUAGGUGGAAUUGAGGUGUUUAAUCCUCUCCCUGCACCACCCAGCAGUUUUGUUGAUCUCCAACACUGCUGGGCUCUUGGAGAUUGUCAUAGAAAUGCAGGUUUCUGCUGAUUCUGCCAAAAGUCUGUGGGGAUUAAAACAGACUGAUUCACAUUUAGCCCCAAUGGAAUUAAGGGAUAGACCCACUCUUCCUGUCGCUUCACUAUGGUUAACACAAAGGCAGUAAUGGUGGCAUUGGUAAUUGAAAAUGAAAAAUUUACCAGCCUCUACCAAUCCUGAUGUCUUUGCUCAAAGGGAGUAGUGGAAUUUUCCCAGAGAGCUUUUCUUAUCUCUACAGGAAGGACUCCAUUUAAACCUUCUCUAAUAAUGUUUGUAGCUAUUCCUAGAACCCAGUACUGUGCCUGGAUACAUGAAAGAGCCAUGGACACAUUUGACUGCAACACAUUGAGAGCAUUAACGAUGUGAGGGUGGUCUACCUGUUGCACCUGUAACCAGCCAGGUAAUACAUUUGCUAUCUUGUAUUCCAUAACGCUGAGAUGAUUGAAAGAGGUGAUUAAGGGAUGCGAUAAGGAGGCCAUAUCUUGACCUAUCGCCCCAAUUUUACUUGCUAGAACCUCUUUAUCUAUGGUGUUUAAGACAAUCAAUCCUGUGCCCACCAGUCCUAGAAUGAUAGCUACUGUAUCCCUCCCCUGAUAUUUGGGCUGCUUUGGGAGUACACUAUCUAGCCAAGCAUACUACCCAACACGUAAUGUGAAGACAUAAGGUGCACAUUUGGGCUGCACUAAUGACAAAUCUAACCGCAGAGGUAUAAUAACCUUUUUCAAGGCGUACAUGGGAUUUACCAUUAACAACUUUUUCACGUCCCUUUUUACCACUACAGGCCCAAUAAUAAUUUUCUGUGGUUGAGGAACCACUACAAUUUCUUUGACCAUCGUAGUCCCAUACAGACUUGUAACUGUCCAGUUACCGGUGUCAUUAACAUUAACAUUGAUUUUAACAUUUCCAGUACACUUUACAUGAAAUGUGACAUUUUUUCUGCCACAAAACUGGUUUAACCCUUGACAGUUAUCUAAACAAGUUUUAUUAUGCAUUACACAUUGCAACUCACUUUCAUAGCUCUUAGUGGGGGUGACCAAAUUAAUUUCAAUAGAUUCCAAGUAAUACUGCAGGCCCUUUACUACAUUGAUAUUUCUGGCUUCUACCCGAAUCCAUUGACCAACCUUGAGCUCAAUGUAUGAACAUUUGGAGGAGUUUGCAGUCGUUGCCACAAUAGUGCAAUUAUUCAUAAAAUUGUCAUUGAGGAACCAAAUACAUUCAACAUCAGAUUUUUGGAUAAAGGGGAAUAUCUCUCCAUUACCCUCUGACAUGGUUACAUUUUGUUCCCCUGCUUUCUCCGUAAAGGAAAGGACACUUUCCCCAGUGGCUUUUACCUCCCACACUGUGUAACAGUCUGUGAAUUGUUCAUACGAGUACACCCACACCUUUCCUUUAAACUGGAGAGGAUCCAGUCUGAUACAUAACUUUCAUUAGCCAUGCAAGUGAGAUGGUCUCCAUUUCUAACAACUACAGAGUCUGACAUAUGUAACAAUACACAAGAACAGAUCCAGGUAUACAUUCUGUAGUCGUUCCUAAAAGAAAAAGGAAAGAAAAGAAUAAAUACUAUACUGUUCUCUACACUUAAGUUACAAAGCCUUUCCAGGUCUUUAACUGGCUGGAAUGGAACCAUUUCAGCACUCUAUUUUUCUUUCCUUUAAUUUCCACUUGAUACACAGUAGGACUUGCUUUAUUAGUUAUAACUACAGGUCCCAACCAUUCUGGGCUCAAAACAUGCUUCUUCUCUGAAAAGAACCUCUACAACACCCUGUCACCUAUAUUCAAUUCUUUAGGACUUAGUACAUUUUGUAGUCUUUGGUCCAUAUGCUUUACAUUACUUUUUAAAUUGAUUACCACUUGCAUUUGGAUAGUGAUCUUUGUUCAGUACCCCCCCCCCCCCCAGCCCCUUCUAAAAUACUAAUCAGAUAAAAUUAAUAACCACACGCCCACUGGGCAUGCUUUUGAGACAUGUGACUCCUUUGGGGGAAAAGAGUAUAAGAAUCAAGCAAAGUAAAUUACUGUUAGAGAGAGUUGGGGGA